This 112-nucleotide non-coding RNA is filed under the name Bombus terrestris (buff-tailed bumblebee). Lineage: Eukaryota; Metazoa; Arthropoda; Insecta; Hymenoptera; Apidae. The record is from RNAcentral.
UUGUAGCAUAAAAGGAGAGACGUUUAACGCUUCCCUAGACAAGGAUGGAACACAUAUAUAAAUGGAUUCUACCAAAUGUCCAAAUUGGACAAAUUGAAAAUGAAAAGUAUUA